Molecule: ribosomal RNA, 439 nt
Filed under: uncultured bacterium
Lineage: Bacteria
Description: partial 16S ribosomal RNA
Rfam family: Bacterial small subunit ribosomal RNA
Source: RNAcentral
CUACGGGAUGCUCCAGUGAGGAAUAUUGCACAAUGGGGGGAACCCUGAUGCAGCAACGCCGCGUGGAGGAUGACGCAUUUCGGUGUGUAAACUCCUUUUAUAUGUCAAGAAAAUGACGGUAGCAUAUGAAUAAGCACCGGCUAACUCCGUGCCAGCAGCCGCGGUAAUACGGAGGGUGCAAGCGUUACUCGGAAUCACUGGGCGUAAAGGACGCGUAGGCGGGUUGGAAAGUCAGGUGUGAAAUCCUACAGCUUAACUGUAGAACUGCACUUGAAACUUCUAAUCUAGAGUAUGGGAGGGGGAGGUGGAAUUAGUGGUGUAGGGGUAAAAUCCGUAGAUAUCACUAGGAAUACCUAAAGCGAAGGCGAUCUCCUGGGACAUUACUGACGCUAAGGCGUGAAAGCGUGGGGAGCAAACAGGAUUAGAUACCCCGGUAGUC